This 583-nucleotide long non-coding RNA is filed under the name Nicotiana tabacum (common tobacco). RNAcentral describes it as "long non-coding RNA (NTAB_LNC000257)". The record is from RNAcentral. Lineage: Eukaryota; Viridiplantae; Streptophyta; Magnoliopsida; Solanales; Solanaceae.
UCGACUGGCCACCAGCGGAGAUCCCAUUGCCGGAUAUCCCAUCGCCUUUCGAUGGGCCUACAUUCGUGCUACCGCCACCGUCACCAUUGCCAUCACCACCUCCGCCAUCUCCAUCACCACCUCCGCCAUCACCAUCACCACCUCCUCCGUCGACAAUACCACUUAUUCCUCCUUUUACCGGCGGCUUUUUGCCUCCUUUGCCCGGCUCUAAGCUUCCUGAUUUUGCCGGCCUUUUGCCUCUGAUUCCCAACUUACCUGAUGUGCCUCCCAUAGGUGGUGGUCCACCUGUUAACCAGCCAAAGCCGUCGUCACCAUCACCCCUAGUUAAGCCGCCACCACCACCACCUUCACCAUGUAAGCCAUCACCACCUGAUCAGUCUGCAAAGCAACCACCACAACCUCCUCCAGCAAAACAACCAUCACCUCCACCUCCUCCACCACCAGUUAAGGCACCAUCUCCAUCUCCAGCAAAGCAACCACCACCUCCUCCACCGCCAGUUAAGGCACCAUCUCCAUCUCCAGCCACUCAGCCACCUACAAAGCAACCGCCACCGCCGCCACGUGCUAAGAAAUCGCCUCUUCU